UUUGUGAUCGAUUGGAAGCAAGCCCACCCUGACUCAAAUUGACCACUCAAAGGUUGAGAGGAAACAAGGACUAACACAUAUACAUUU
RNAcentral lists this long non-coding RNA (87 nucleotides) under Sinocyclocheilus grahami. RNAcentral's name for it is "lncRNA (ENSSGRG00000048491.1)". Lineage: Eukaryota; Metazoa; Chordata; Actinopteri; Cypriniformes; Cyprinidae. The record is from RNAcentral.